CACAAAGACCCGCGAUAGUUGCUAGUAGCGCGGGGCUUGGUAUCGCUUGCCCGCCUUGUGCGGCUGUCGUGGCUGCAGAGAGAGGCUGGAAGGUGGCCGUGGGCGUGGACCAGCUGAGGGUCUUUUAAGGACCGGUUGUGCUAGUGGUAGAGAAUCCACCUGCCAAUGCAGAAGAUGUGGGCUCGAUCCCUGGGUUGGAAAGAUCAGCUGGAGUAGGAAAAGGCAACCCACUCCAGUAUUCUUGCCUAAAAAAUUGCAUGAACAGAGGAGCAUGAGCUGACCUCACCCAUCAUUCUGCCCUUGAUUGACCAAUGAUGACAGGAGGUUAGCCCAGAGGGGCAAGUGGAGCCAGAGAACAAGCAACUAUGGAAACUACUGUAGAAGCAGGAAGAUGAGUGAGGAGUCUGAAGAGCUCCUAUGAGGAGCACAGAUGUGAGUUAUCAGUGGUGCUGUGUACCUAGAAGGCAGCAGAUGGCAGGUGCCAGGUCAUCAGGCUGCCCACUGAAGCCUCCAGCAAGGAAGAAUUUCAGAUCUGAACUCCAAGAAGGAAUACAUUGAUCCAGCUGAGAGACUUGCAAUCUCUUCAUUGUGCAGAAAAUUGAUUUCUACAAACAGUGGCACAGAUGGUAUGUCAGUUGGAUGACUCACAGACUCCUGAAAUCAACCAUGUUCCAGUGGACCAGUCCAAAUAGGACUCAACAUUUUUACCUUCUAAGACUUCUCUUCCUGAAUUGCCUCACCUUGGCGAAUGGCAUCAUGAAAGGCUCAAUGAUGAAAUACCCUUCAUCUCCCCAGCUUUAGAUGCCAACCAAUCUUAAGGUCUAUGGAACAGGACUCUAUUAGCCCACAAAACUAGCUCUUGUCUCUCACUGCCUGGCCACUACUGUGAUUUAUCUUUAUGACAUUUUAUCUGGAUUUUUAUCAGAGGCCUCUAAUUGUAUUUCUUGCUUCCAACCUUAUCUCCAUGAAAUUCAUUCUGUACAUAUUGUCAGAGAUAUUUCUCUUUACAGCUUUACUGAGAUAUAAUUCACAAACCAUAAAAUUCUCUUAAAUAAAGUAAACCAUUCAAUGGC
Dama dama (fallow deer) is the source of this 1073-nucleotide long non-coding RNA. RefSeq lists it as uncharacterized. NCBI's taxonomy places the organism in Eukaryota, Metazoa, Chordata, Mammalia, Artiodactyla, Cervidae. The record is from RefSeq and is a predicted model, not a curated record. The transcript is spliced from 7 exons.